UACGUAGGGGGCUAGCGUUGUCCGGAAUCAUUGGGCGUAAAGAGCGUGUAGGCGGCCCGGUAAGUCCGCUGUAAAAGUCAAAGGCUCAACCUUUGAAUGUCAGUGGAUACUGCCGGGCUAGAGUCCGGAAGAGGCGAGUGGAACUCCUGGUGUAGCGGUGGAAUGCGCAGAUAUCAGGAGGAACACCGAUGGCGAAGGCAGGUCUCUGGGCCGCAACUGACGCUGAGGAGCGGAAAGCAUGGGGAGCGAACAGG
Molecule: ribosomal RNA, 254 nt
Filed under: uncultured bacterium
Lineage: Bacteria
Description: partial 16S ribosomal RNA
Rfam family: Bacterial small subunit ribosomal RNA
Source: RNAcentral